This 65-nucleotide non-coding RNA is filed under the name unclassified sequences. The record is from RNAcentral.
AAGCUAAUGCAGGCAGACUUGACAAGUCGAGACGGUCGCAACCCCGUGAAAAUGCAGAGCGGCUU